Acinonyx jubatus (cheetah) is the source of this 6897-nucleotide long non-coding RNA. RefSeq lists it as uncharacterized. NCBI's taxonomy places the organism in Eukaryota, Metazoa, Chordata, Mammalia, Carnivora, Felidae. The transcript has 3 exons. The record is from RefSeq and is a predicted model, not a curated record.
ACAGUGGUCCAGUAACCUUACAUUACAAACAGGACUUUCAAUAAAGGUAAUGGCAACGUUAAGCAUGCAUGACAUUCCUAAACGAAUCCUACUGGCAGGCGGGGACCACCUCUUUGCGCCUUCUAUGAUGCCUGCCUGGUGCAUCAGGGAUAUAAAGAGAAGACAGACUGCCUGCCCACAAGGAGGUCACUGGCCAACACAAAAGCUAAGAUAAAAGCGCCAACCAGCUCCAAGGGUCACACUAGGACUACCGCCAUGGAAGAGGGUCUGAUAACAUACACGGACAAUCGGACACAGUAAUUUAGGAAGUCUAGAAAGCUGUCCCCAAAGUACCGGAACAUCAUGUACGCUUUUAAGGACAGAUGAUACUUUCUCCCACGUUUUAUUAUGAAAAAUUUCAGACGUACAGAAUAUUUUUUUCUUUUUUGCAGAAUCUCACCGCACACACUACGUACGUACCCACCUCCUUCGCUUUUUCUAUACUUGCUUCGACAUGCCUUUCCGUUCCUCUGCCCAUCUGCCGAGCUCUUAUCUUAUUGCUGCGGUUGCAUUUUGUGUUGUAGUGGUUUCCGCAGGCAUGGGAACACUUUUCCUAAGACUUCAAUGUGAGUAUCAUUAACUGAAGUGCUAAGACGGAAUGGAGGGGCAUGGGAGGAAGGCCAUGCCACACGGAAGAGCGGCAUUUCCUUACACACAGAAGCAGGAACGUGGAACCCCACAAAACCACACCUGCCGGCCCUGAAGCUCCCUUGACUGCCCCACACUUCCUUUCUGGGCCCAAGGGUUUCUGACCCGAUAGCGCCCACAGCAUUCACGCCUCACCUUCACACUUCUCUAUCAAUAUUUGUGAUAGCUUAUAGAGCUCAGUGCCAAUGUCACACUUCACCACUAAGUGUCAUUAUACUAUAGCUACUCUGGGGCAUAAAAUGUCCGUUAGACACCUAUACCCCCUUGCUUCUUUAAGCCUGAGGCUCGGCAGCUGUGGCUGCCCUUGCUUUUCCCACAGGCAGCGGGCAGCAGCAAAGACAGACAAAGCCCGACUCGUCACUUUCCUACCGUGAUCCUCACCAGGCACCGCAAUCCAGCCUUUAUUUAUUCUUCCUUUCUCUUAAAGCACAUAACAGCGUUGAAAGUGAGCCAUCAUCGCUGCUCCCAUGCCCCGGAUGGCCAUGCAAUCUCCCGCUAAAAGGGACAACAGGGAGCAAGACUCCAGCUGAAAGGCGAGGAGUCUGCACGGGGCUUGCCUUGCCCAGACAGAAGACUGGUUAACGUUGUUGUGGGCUGGGUGUGUGAUGGGAUGUGGCCUCAAGGUCAUGUUUGAGGCCCAGCAAAUGCAGGGUCUGUGGCUAGAAAUUGUAGCCCAGAGACACUGGGCUUUCACAGCGUAAGAGCCACUUUGUAAUUGAACGGAGGCAGGGAGCCACAAAGAAAGAAGUAAGGCACGGAACCUCCUCUUAAUGGCUGUAGUCGGGGUUCAGAGGCAAACUCACACCAGGGGAGGGCUGACCACCCCAGGGGCAGGGCAGGGGCUCUGGUCACUGUACACUGGCCCUCUCCUUGCUGGGAGGGAUACCUGAGGAUCCCCCACGUCUCUUAACCACGUAGAAAAUCAGAAAGGAAACUCCAACUUCUCCAGACUGCUAGAACGAAGCCGUAUCAAAUAGACACUGAUGCUAUGGUUGCGACCUCAGGGCCUUCUUCCACAGCCCCUCACAAACCCUAACUCAGCUCAAUGGCCCUACUGGCUACCAGAAGCUUCCCUGUUAACACCUAGAGCCUUCCAAGCUCUGUACCUGCACGCACAACUGCUUUUCCCUGUAUUGCCCUGACUCUUUUCUGCACAUCUGGAUUCUGCUCAUCUUUCAAAUGCCUCGUCCUUUGUGAGCCUUCUGGAUAGAAGAGGCCUCCGUUUUUCUUAAACAUCCACAGCCUCUGACUUGGGCCUCUUUGCUGCUGGUUCAUAUCCUUUCUGCCUUAUAUUCUAUUGUUUUGGUACAUGCCAUGGCUCCAACCAGAAGUCGCUGAAAAUAAGAACCAAUGGUACUCAUCUUUUCUCUGCUUCCCCUUCCCAGGCAGCUCAGCGUUUGUGGAAUGAGUCACUGACAGGGGCAGAAGCAGGGCUGCUACCUCCCUGUGAUCAAUGCACUAUGACACGGGAUCAUCAACAUAAAGUGAACACAGAAAAGGGAAAGAUGUCCCAGUGGAAAGAAGCAAAGAAGACGCCUUCCGCAAGGUGACGAGACCGCGGGACGUGGCUCUGUCCUCCGACACAGGAGCGGCGCCCUACAGAGAGACGGUUUACGAAGUACUUUCUCGGGCAAGAUUCUCUAAGCAACACGGGGAGGAAAAGGAGGCCUACUGAAGCUGGUCAGUCACCAUCUAGUCAGACAACUGAUGGCACCUGCAGAGCACAAGCAAUAUGCCAGCAUCACGGGGGGUAUGAAGAUGCCACUGCCUUCAAGGAACCUACACCUGUGAAGGACCCUCAUGACAACGGAGUCCAGUCGCCCGGCCCGGGCCUGUGCCUCUCGUGCACCACAGCUGAUGCGGCCCACGUAUCCAAAUGCUUCCGUGAUAAAUGCCUGCCCCUCCCACUUUGCCAGACAGGAAGUUCCACAGGAGCACCAGCCACACACUGGGGUCUGUGCAUCACUGUACCCCUGGGGUCGAGCACACAGCAGGUCCUCAAGAGGGCUUAAAAGCAAUCGCCAUAGCAGAAAGAAUACAGAGGACGGCUAUGUUAACCUCUGGCAAGUCGACACUGACUCCUCACACCCCUUCAAAAGGCCUGGAGAGAACUCAAAUCCCACUUCUAGGAGCUCCUACCAGUCAACGGCGGCUGAUAACAUUAUCAAGGGAUGGCCCCCAUAAAACGCCGUCUUGUCCUUCCUCUUAGCGGGACAGCUGACAGACUGCACACUCGGAGUAGACUACAAGGGCCAAAGAGGCAAGCAAGUAAAACCGCCCAAUGCUUUGUAUGGAACACAGUCCUUCUACAUUGGAGAGAAAUCCUUGCUGUCAUUAUGUCUAGAGGGAAAAUAAAUAUGAAUGAAGUAAGCGUCUCUGGUGGUGCAUUCUCUGCGAAGCGGUAAAGAGAUGCUGGAUGAUCACCUUUUAAAUUCUCGAAUGAAUAGCUGGACUUUACACCCCUGUUCUGCCUAGUCCAUCCUGUCCACGGCUACCUAUAAAGCACAGCUCUGGCUUAGCCACGCUACUGCUUUAAGACCUUAAUGGCCGACUGCCUACAGUCUAAAGGUCAAACCACCGCAGUAUAGUAUUCAAUGCUGUUCCACCAUCUGGCCCUAACUUUGCGUUCUCAUGACAUACCACCUCCACCAUCACCUGAAUCCAUUCUGCCACCAUCAAAACGCACAAUGUAGCUUUCAGUUCCCUGAACCGUCCUGCCAUUCGGAGGUUUUGCUCACGGUUAGGACGAUCCAUCAAAAAAAUCCUUCCAGGCCCAGCUCGGAGGGGGUGUCCUCCACGAAACCCCGUCUGAAACACGCACAAGGCAGGGAACAUGUGAAGAGUGAGCCAGAGAGUCAGGAGCCUGGAGCUCACCUCACAGACCAGCGUCUGGGAAAGACCACAGCGCAACAGAGCAAACUGGUAACAGAAGAUAGAUAGCGUGUGUUAUAAACACAUCGCUCAGCAUGGCUUGGUUCUGGCUGGGAACGUAGCAGAGAAUCACCAUUUUGCUCUGGGCCCACGAUGCCUUACUUCUGCCUGUGUCAAGGCACGGCCCACAUUCUGGCUCUAGUAAGACUCCUUGUGUAACAGACCAUAAGCUCCUUAAAGGUAGGGUCUGUGUCUAUGCACGCUCAAGGUGUAGAUGGGAUUGAAUAUAGGUGCAUAUGGGAUUGAAUGGAACCCAUGCUUGUUGCCCUCGACGGCAACCUAAACAGACCCCCUACCACAGGCUCUCAGGGAAAAUCUUCACUUGUCUUUGGGGCAUCUGCCUUUUCUUUCAAAGCCACAUCUGAUUAUGUUGCCUUCUCACAUCCACACGUCCCUGGCCACUGUAAGAAAAACACACACUCCUUAGCCCGUACCCAGGCCUACUAGCCCAUUUCUGUAGAUGGCUCCUCUAUUCUAGCACAAAGAACUUUGGAGACUUCCCAAGGUCACUAUCAUGCUUUUCCGUACCUCUAUGCCUUUGCACAGACCAUAUGUUCUUUCCCUUCUCUUUUGCCUGCAAACUCCUACUCAUCCCUGUAAGCCCCAACUGAAGUAUUUCCUCCCUAAGGUCUUCUGGGACCCAUCCAGAGUGAGUCAUUUUCUCAUAUGCCCAGCAUACCCCCUGCUGCUCUACACGAGGAUUACUCAUCUAGGGGACUAUUCAUUCCCCGUCUAGGGCUAUAACUGCUCCAUAGAAACAAUCUAUCUAGUUCUCUCUGACUGUAGAUCCGGCACCUAUUAAGUAGGUACUCAGUAAAUGUCUUCAAUAAAUGAACGAGUGAGGUCUCCUACACAGAGAAAAAAUGAUCUAGAAAAAGAUCGUAUAAAGUGGGCAGCACCAACAGUAUCACCUGAAACCCGUAAGCCCCUUUACAGUUACGACUACUGCAAUGACAGGCAGCAAAGUUUUCCAGACCCUCGUUCUGCUCUCUUAACUUGGCACAAGGGGGACCAGCACAUGCCCCUUUCCUCCUCUCCCCUUCCUACUCACACCGACCUCCAAAUGCCACAGGAAUAUGGACCUGGUCCAAAAGAAAGCUAAUCUCAACAUUAACCCAGGAGAGUCUUGUUAAUGAAAAACUUUGCUAAGAACACUCUGUUUAUUUAUUAAUUAUUUGGCCUUUAAAGAAGUGUGAAAUCCACACAUGUGAAGUGCCAAAAACUGUUGGUUUUUCAUGGAGAAUCUUUAAUGGUGGCAACGCUGCAGACUUGUUUUUGUUUUUGAUUCCGAAGUAGGACUUGCAGUCUUGCUGGGGAAGUUGGACUUGUACUUAUAAGCUGUGUGAGUUGGGGCGGCUUGCUUAACUUCUCUGGAGCCUUAUUUCCUCACCUGUGAAAUGGGGAUGAAGUAUCUACUCGGGAGGAUUGUUGCAUGCAUUAGCAAUGACAGGGGAAGGGUCUCACCCCUCAAAGUGAUCUUAAAUGGUCCUGGAACUAUUAUGCAGUGUCACUGCACUUGGUUUAUAUGCUUUCAUCGCUUGCAACGCGUACGUGAGGUUUCUCUGUCCAGAGCGCCAUGCCACACAGCAUCUUGUAUAAACCUACAAUGCUUCUACUUUCUGGGAUCUUAACAGCGAGCAGCUCUGCCACGCGGCACUGAAACCGUUCUGGACAUCUUGACCGCACGCUAACCUGUCAAAAGGAUGUGGCCACAGAAAUUGUUUCCAAGUAAACGGAGCCCUUUAUUAGGAUAUCUUAACGUUAACCGGGCAUCAUGCAGGCUACUUACUUGCUAUAAUAAUCUUUUAAUUUAGAAUGGAUUGUUCAUUGAAUAAGAUAGCGGGAAUUAGGUUUUUGCCAAGGGCGAAGCGCGGCCAAAAUUCUUGUAAUCCGUGGCAGAUUGUAAAAUUAUCUUUAUGAACAGGCUGGCGGCAUCGCAUUAAAUAGCACGUCCCCCGCCGGAUUUCCAGAAGUUAGUUCUUAGUGCAAAUACAACCGUCACUAGAAGAAUAAAGCAAGAAACUUCUGUAGCUACUAGGCGGCUGCCGUACAGAGGCACAUUACCCAUGCACUCAGUCGAAGGGACACUCACGUGGGACUGCCCGCUGCUUAGGAAACAUGCUAAAUAAAGAGGAUUCUAAAUGCCCAGGCACUCAGGAAUUCUUUUAAAAAUAACAUGGAAACCAUGAUCAUAAAGGACAUUUUAAAAACUGCACUCAAACUGAGGACAUAUUAAUCUGAGGGCUAAGCGAAACGAAAAACCUACUGUGUGGUGGGUAGAGACGCAAUGAGGUGGGAGCGAGGUGGACAACAGCAUGUGCUGAAGACCUACUGUGCGCCAGGGCCGCGUAGCGCGCUGUGCUUAUUCGCUCGCGUGCGUCACCCUCGCACCUACCUUGUUCCCAGUUUGUGGAUGCUGACUGAUGCUCAAAACGCUCAGAAACCCAUCCAAGUCGCCAAACUGCUAAGUGGGGGAGUCGGGCUCUGACUCCACCCUCAUGACGCCUUGACUUUGGACCGACUGCUCUGAAGAUAGCCUCGAUACCCCAGUAAGUUAACUUCUCACAAGGCCACUACUAGGCGCUUAGUGAGAACACAAUCUUACUAGAAGGGGGCACAACCCGGCCGUGAAGUGGACUGAAUGUACACCACUUAACGUCCUCCAUCCACCACCUACAACACAGGGUAAAACUCAACCCGUCCUUCUGCUUUCGAGUCCUUCCUAAUCCAGCCCCGAUGCACUCCCCUCCCUUGCUUGACGACCAUCUGUUGAAUACUUUCUAUACAAAAGGCGUAGCACGAAGCAUUGCAGGAGCAGUGUGGGAGAUCCACUGGAACAGUACAUAUUCUCUGCCCUCGAGGGGCUUCGAGUACAGGAGGGAAACUGAGGCAGAAAGCCAUACAACAGCAAUAAAAGCAGGGCACUAUGAGGAUGAGAGGGACAACUAAAGAACAGUCUGAGAUAAAAAUCCAGACGUUUUCUCCCGUGGUUGCCACGCUCUGUCAUUCACGCAGCUGCGCCGGCCACAUUCGACUGGUCGCAAAACCAAGAGCAGCCAAAGGCAGCAACACACGGGCCGAUCAUUAAGGAGAAAACAGUGGCCUACGCACUGGGCUUUCUACGUGAGAUCGUGAACAAGCACACCAGAAUACCUCUCUUGGUCGAGUUUCACAUUCAGGAGAGUGAACCCCCUUUUAUUCUCCUUUAAAAAUUUCAAAUUACCCAGCUGAUAUGCAGUAUAUGCUCCCUGUAAAAAAUUAAAAUGUUACAUACACAAA